AGAAUUGAUCUGGUCAGGAUGAACGCUGGCGGCAGGCUUAAUACAUGCAAGUCGAACGGUAAGGCCUGAAGUGGCAACACGGAGGGUACACGAGUGGCGCACGGGUGCGUAACGCGUAUGCAACCUGCCCCCAACCGGGACAAAACAGCUGGAAACGGCUGCUAAUAUCCCAUAGUCAUGAGGAGGGGCAUCCCUCUUUAUGUAAAGAUUCAUUGGUUGGGGAUGGGCAUGCGUAUUAUUAGGUAGUUGGCGGGUAACGGCCCACCAAGCCGACGAUGAUUAGGGGUCCUGAGAGGGUUAUCCCCCACACUGGAACUGAGACACGGUCCAGACUCCUACGGGAGGCAGCAGUAGGGAAUAUUGGGCAAUGGGAGCAAUCCUGACCCAGCCAUGCCGCGUGAAGGAAAGACGGUCCUAUGGAUUGUAAACUUCUUUUGCCGCAGAGUAAACGGUGCCACGUGUGGUGCUUUGAGAGUAUGCGGCGAAUAAGUAUCGGCUAACUCCGUGCCAGCCGCUGC
Molecule: ribosomal RNA, 518 nt
Filed under: uncultured bacterium
Lineage: Bacteria
Description: bacterial SSU rRNA
Rfam family: Bacterial small subunit ribosomal RNA
Source: RNAcentral